RNAcentral lists this transfer RNA (117 nucleotides) under Candidatus Haloredivivus sp. G17. It matches the Rfam family "tRNA". Rfam says of the family: Transfer RNA (tRNA) molecules are approximately 80 nucleotides in length. The record is from Rfam by way of RNAcentral. Lineage: Archaea; Methanobacteriati; Methanobacteriota; Candidatus Nanohaloarchaea.
GGGCUCGUAGUUCAGUCUGGCAGAACGUCCCCCUUGCAACGAACUUCAAGCGCAAAGUUCGACCAUGCGCUUCCGCAAGACAGGGGAAGGCCCAGGGUUCAAAUCCCUGCGAGUCCA